GGUGAACCUGCGGAGGGAUCAUUACAGAGUUGCAAAACUCCCUAAACCAUUGUGAACGUUACCUUACCGUUGCUUCGGCGGGCGGCCCGGGUCCUGCCCGGCGCCCCUCGGCCCCUCGCGGGGCGCCCGCCGGAGGUAAACCAAACCAUUGAAUUUUAUGGCCUCUCUGAGUCUUCUGUACUGAAUAAGUCAAAACUUUCAACAACGGAUCUCUUGGUUCUGGCAUCGAUGAAGAACGCAGCGAAAUGCGAUAAGUAAUGUGAAUUGCAGAAUUCAGUGAAUCAUCGAAUCUUUGAACGCACAUUGCGCCCGCCAGUAUUCUGGCGGGCAUGCCUGUUCGAGCGUCAUUUCAACCAUCAAGCCCCCGGCUUGUGUUGGGGACCUGCGGCUGCCGCAGGCCCUGAAAACCAGUGGCGGGCUCGCUAGUCACUCCGAGCGUAGUAGUUACAUCUCGCUCAGGGCGUGCUGCGGGUUCCGGCCGUUAAAAGCCUUAUUUACCCAAGGGUUGACCUCGGGAUCAGGUAGGAAGACCCGCUGAACUUAA
This 544-nucleotide ribosomal RNA is filed under the name Chaetomium sp. RSF-Q207. RNAcentral describes it as "eukaryotic LSU rRNA". The stretch from base 194 to 347 matches the Rfam family "5.8S ribosomal RNA". The record is from RNAcentral. Lineage: Eukaryota; Fungi; Ascomycota; Sordariomycetes; Sordariales; Chaetomiaceae.